Molecule: long non-coding RNA, 1222 nt
Organism: Acinonyx jubatus (cheetah)
Lineage: Eukaryota; Metazoa; Chordata; Mammalia; Carnivora; Felidae
Exons: 3
Source: RefSeq, a predicted model, not a curated record
UUUCCUGAGGGGAGAGAGAGGGAGCGCGCGCGGCGGCUCUUUUCUUUCGGGGGCUGCUUCCGGGGCGUGGUGCGCGCGUCGCCCGCCCGCUGCACGCCCGCCCAGUCCCCGGUGCGCGCCCGCUGCGCUCGAAGAUCCGUCGCUUCCGAGUAUAGCUCUACGUGGCGUGGGAGUGGCGCCAGAAUUCAAACUAACAGCCGCAGUUGGAGGCGAGUCUACCGCCUGCCCCGGGCCAAAUGCGCCCUGAACAGAUUGGCCGGUUUGGGGCCGGGAGUGGGCUUGAGUUUUGUAGCGCAGGACGGCCUCAGCAUUUGAGCAUCUCGAAAAGUCGGGCUGACUUGGCGCGGCGGGAGUUGACGCCCAGCGGGCGCCGCAGGAGCUGGCGGGCACUGGUCUCCGCACUCACAGAAAGAUAAAUUGGCGUGCAGAAGUGCUUAGGUGAAAAAAGUAUGUGAAAGCACUGCCUUUCUCCUGCGGUGCAUGGCGAGAAUACCGCGCCUCCGCGGGACAGCCGGCCCGCCGCGCCGCGCGCGGCCCAGUUGCGCCCCAGUGCGGGCGUCCGCGCCCUACCCGCCCCACCCCAUCCCUGUUCUUCAUUGUGCCAGGCGCUGCUGUUGCGUUACGUGGUCUGCGCUUAGAGUUCUCCCCGACGCAGCCAACCCGAGAGUUUCCGGUUUUUCACUAUUUCAAAUUGUGCUGAAGUGAAUUACAGAUAUAUUAUAGGGAUCUUGUUGGAAGAUCUGCAAGAUCAAUUUCUAAAGCAUGUGCAUCAUAAGGCACCACACCAGCCCUACUGCAAUAUCUGUUUCUGGUGGGAAGGGAAGAGUGUUCUUCACCUGCUACAUAAGAGGAUUGAGUAGAGACUAUCUCCCUGUGCCAACUUUGGGGCAAGAUGCGCUGGCCAUGAUGGACUGAUACUCAGUAUUGAAGCUGAUCUUGCUCUAUCUCUGUGAAUAAAGUAUUAUUCCAUCCAGUGCCUGUGUGAGUCUUGUCUUUCUUGGCAGUGCCAAUACCUGAAAACUCUUGCAGUAGGUUGACAUCUUGCCACUGCUUUUCCUGGUGUUUGGUAACAGGUGUCAAUUGCUCACAGUUUAGUGCAGUGAGCAAGGUCACCAACCAUGUUAGUACAUGAUGCAGAUGCAUGGCGUUCCUCAGUCCAGCCAUCCUAGAGUGAUGUCAGCUUCCUGGGGGGAGGAGGGCCUGACUGAGAUACUGUGCUGUC